UGCCUGUUUACCAAAAACAUCACCUCGAGCAUUACUAGUAUUCGAGGCACUGCCUGCCCAGUGACCAAGCGUUAAACGGCCGCGGUACUCUGACCGUGCAAAGGUAGCAUAAUCAUUUGUUCCUUAAUUAGGGACUUGUAUGAACGGCCACACGAGGGUUUAACUGUCUCUUACCUCUAAUCAAUGAAAUUGACCUUCUCGUG
RNAcentral lists this ribosomal RNA (203 nucleotides) under Elephas maximus (Asiatic elephant). RNAcentral describes it as "partial 16S ribosomal RNA". It matches the Rfam family "Archaeal large subunit ribosomal RNA", at positions 1889 to 2132 of the family's 2987-position model. Lineage: Eukaryota; Metazoa; Chordata; Mammalia; Proboscidea; Elephantidae. The record is from RNAcentral.